Cyanistes caeruleus (blue tit) is the source of this 856-nucleotide non-coding RNA. Lineage: Eukaryota; Metazoa; Chordata; Aves; Passeriformes; Paridae. The record is from RefSeq and is a predicted model, not a curated record.
CAAGAGGCAUUUAAGGACAAACAUGACUUAAGCACUUGUCUUGUCCCUCCCUCCCUUUGGGAUCUCUGUCAGCUGGAACACUUCUACAGCAGGAGUGAAUUCUGAAACCUAAGAGAGGUUUGUAGUGACCAUUUCACCCAGUAGGCUAUGGAAUUUCCUUAACCAAUUUCUGCAUCAGACCUGUAAUUCCUGCUUGAGACUAGGUGCCAUUCAGCAGACCCUUAACACUGGUUCAAACAUUUUAAAUGGUGGACUGUCACUUACAGUCAUGUUUGGACUGUGAAAAGUGCUAACUCAUGCAUUUUCUGAAUGCCUGGAAAAUAAAAGCAAACUUCAUCUCAAUAUAAAUUUUAUGAACAGUGGAGAAUGACCUGGAAGAUAAGAGCCGCUGUUAACAUGCGUUACCUCCGAUAAUUUACUGCCACGUCCUCAUCUUUCAGCUCAAUGGAGCAAUGGUGUCUCCUAGUGGACAAGUACCUGCAGACGGCUGGCAACAACUCAGAAAAUAUUCAGCUCCAUUUCAGUUGGUAUUUGCAAAGUGACUGAAUACACCCGUAAAGUUGUGAGACCCUGUUCCCCCACUGCAAGCAGCUAGAGAUGUGCUUCCACAGAAGCCUUCAAGUGGACAGAGAAUGACAUGAAACCAAGUAUUACUCAGCUUAAAUCAGGUUUCUUGAGUUGACAUACUAGAAAGUAUUGCCAAGGAACAGGGCUAAAAUACAUUUCAGAGUUGCUGAAUAUAGUGAAAGGUGGCAGUUGUGUUUGUUCUAGGAAAUGUUAUGCACUUGAAAACUUUUACUCUCAACAGAAAAAAAUACAUAUUUUUAAUUAAACUUAAGCGGAAUUGAUACAUGGA